AUUGAACGCUGGCGGCAGGCUUAACACAUGCAAGUCGAGCGGGGUGAUGGUGCUUGCACUAUCACUUAGCGGCGGACGGGUGAGUAAUGCUUAGGAAUCUGCCUAUUAGUGGGGGACAACAUCUCGAAAGGGAUGCUAAUACCGCAUACGUCCUACGGGAGAAAGUAGGGGAUCACUUGUGACCUUGCGCUAAUAGAUGAGCCUAAGUCGGAUUAGCUAGUUGGUGGGGUAAAGGCCUACCAAGGCGACGAUCUGUAGCGGGUCUGAGAGGAUGAUGCGCCACACUGGGACUGAGACACGGCCCAGACUCCUACGGGAGGCAGCAGUGGGGAAUAUUGGACAAUGGGGGGAACCCUGAUCCAGCCAUGCCGCGUGUGUGAAGAAGGCCUUAUGGUUGUAAAGCACUUUAAGCGAGGAGGAGGCUCUUUUGGUUAAUACCCAAGAUGAGUGGACGUUACUCGCAGAAUAAGCACCGGCUAACUCUGUGCCAGCCGCCGGGGUAA
RNAcentral lists this ribosomal RNA (503 nucleotides) under uncultured bacterium. Its description in RNAcentral is "partial 16S ribosomal RNA". It matches the Rfam family "Bacterial small subunit ribosomal RNA", at positions 30 to 523 of the family's 1533-position model. The record is from RNAcentral.